Molecule: non-coding RNA, 29 nt
Filed under: Homo sapiens (human)
Lineage: Eukaryota; Metazoa; Chordata; Mammalia; Primates; Hominidae
Source: RNAcentral
CCCGCAGGAAUGUGGGUGGAUCCUAGAUG